This is a long non-coding RNA of Acanthaster planci (crown-of-thorns starfish), 1680 nucleotides long. The record is from RefSeq and is a predicted model, not a curated record. NCBI's taxonomy places the organism in Eukaryota, Metazoa, Echinodermata, Asteroidea, Valvatida, Acanthasteridae.
AUAAAAGACAUCCUCUCCAGCAUUGAACAGAGCCGAGUUGAUGGAAUUGAAGUAGGCCUAUUCAAUCGAGCGUCAUCUUUUUCGUAGGGACGCGAACUUUUCCCAAAUCGUUCAGGAACCAGAAGCACUUUCCUCCAUGGCACCUGUACGUUGAUGUUUCUUAUUCCUCUUUUUGGCAACAGCACUUUUAUUGUUUCAAGAAAUGUCGUUGCAUUCCAAAUAGAGAAAACUACACUUUGGAAAGAAUUGUACAGAACAAAGCUAGCCAGUUCCAUUUUUUAAAAACCUCUCUGAAGUAAGGCCAGAACAAUUAUCUAAUCGAGUGGUGUAUGUGAUUUACUGUGAGCCCCCCUGCAAGGCACCAGCCCAACUAGCUCCAGGUACCCUGUCUCUGAGGUGAUCUGAUCUGACUAGGGUUGCAAUGAUCCCUACGCGUGCUGAUCGAGACAUCAGCAGCCGAGAAGAAAGAUCGUAUAGCGCCGAUCGAGUGAAGCCACAUUCGAACAUCCAGAGACUUGCUGGUAGGAGCAGGUGGUACCCAUGGGGAGGCCGGGUCAGAGUGUGGACCAUUGGCAGAGGGGAGCCCUGGCAGCUAGGAUAGUGUGACACCGGGCUAUACCCAGAACAGACCCUGUGCCACAGCCGGUCUGGACUACCGAGAGGUGGACAUGGAGAUCACAUUCUGGAAGCAAGUACAUGUAGCAAGUCUGAAGUUUUUCUCACUGGCAGACUUCAUAGGAGGGGUACGCAUCACCCAGGGCCAAAGCGACAGGUGGACUGAAGGUUUUUAAUAAGUAUUUUUUUGGGGGGGGGAAGUGCCACCCCUUCUCCCCAGAUGCCUAUGAAUCCACCAGAAGUCCUCGAAAAGCCAUCCAGUCACAUGCUAUUCAACUACAUGCAAGCUGUCACACACAGGCAUCCCCUUUGCAAUGGUUCACCUCACGCUUGUGCUAGGUCUUGUGAAAGGGCUCUUGAUGGAGUCGACUUCAACACCAGUUUCUUCUACAUCUUUUUCAACUUUAAUAUUUCAUUUGCCGCUUCCCCGUGUUCAGGGUUCACUCACUUCACUAUCGUCGUGAGCGACAACUUCAACGGAGUGAUCAGCUUUGAGCGAGAAUCGAAGAUGCCCAGCCCUCUGUUACGCUCACACUCAAAAGAGGGCAGGCUUUCUUUGGUGAAGUCAUACUGAGUCUCCCCAGCCAUCAUUUGCAUUAAAUAAAUUACUCUUUAAGUUUUGCUGAAAAGCAUGACUCAGUUUGAACGUCUGGAAAAGAUAAAGUUUCGUGAGCAGGAAGAUUAUGUCAAUUUCAGGUGAAGUGGCGAGCGACGCACAGUCCAAUUCGGGGACAUCACCAAUGAUGCUGAUCUCUAUACACAACUCGGGGAAGUGGAGGGCAUGGUGACAUGCCCAGCCGACCAGUGACUGUGCACGUUUGUUGUCGGUGGCUACCGGUGGGGCCGUUGUCCACACCCAUCGCGGCAGCCAGCAUCACCCUCGUGGAAGACGAUCGGAUUGUCUGAUAUCUGGGACAACCACUACAGCCCUCUCGUUGGUCUGAGUGACAACAACAUCUACAACAUCCUCCUGGGCAUGGUGGAACAUGGCAGGGCUAGCUAGGGGCCAGGUGACCGAGGAGCAGCUGGCCGUUGUCAUGGAUACCAUUCGGAUGGUCGGUGCUU